AUGAACUUUAUGUAUGAACUUGUAUUAAUUUGGUCUAUUCGGUGUUGUAUAAUGAAGAUGAGCCGGCAAUGGAUGUACGAUGACCGAUGCUCUCCCCAGUUCGUUGAGGGCGUGCAUACUUUUCUCCUUGCGGCUGAGGCAAACAAGCGGGCGGAUGGUUUUAUGCCUUGUCCAUGUGCUCGCUAUAAGAAUGGUCACAAUUACUCUACGUCAAGAACCAUUCACCUCCACCUGUUUAAGUCCGGUUUCAUGCCCCAUUAUAAUGUUUGGACCAAGCACGAAGAAAGAGGGGUUAUGAUGAAAGACAAUGAAGAAGAAGAGGACGACGACAGCUAUCCUGGCCAUGGGUUCCCUGGAUACGAUGAUACAACAAUGGGGGAAGAAGCUGAGCCGGUAAUGCGGGAAGAAGCUGAGCCGGCAAUGCGGGAAGAAGCUGAAGAAGAGGCAUCAGAUGAGCCCGUUGAUGAUCUAGGUCGGGCCAUUGCCGAUGCAAAGAGAAACUGCGCAAGUGAUUUGGAGAAGAAGAAGUUGCAGUGCAUGUUAGAGGAUCACAAAAAAUUGUUGUACCCGAAUUGCGUAGGU
This 582-nucleotide ribosomal RNA is filed under the name Triticum aestivum (bread wheat). RNAcentral's name for it is "partial small subunit ribosomal RNA". Lineage: Eukaryota; Viridiplantae; Streptophyta; Magnoliopsida; Poales; Poaceae. The record is from RNAcentral.